AGUGAACGCUGGCGGUAGGCCUAACACAUGCAAGUCGAACGGCAGCACAGUAAGAGCUUGCUCUUACGGGUGGCGAGUGGAGGACGGGUGAGGAAUACAUCGGAAUCUACUUUUUCGUGGGGGAUAACGUAGGGAAACUUACGCUAAUACCGCAUACGACCUACGGGUGAAAGCAGGGGAUCUUCGGACCUUGCGCGAUUGAAUGAGCCGAUGUCGGAUUAGCUAGUUGGCGGGGUAAAGGCCCACCAAGGCGACGAUCCGUAGCUGGUCUGAGAGGAUGAUCAGCCGCACUGGAACGGAGACACGGUCCAGACUCCUACGGGAGGCAGCAGUGGGGAAUAUUGGACAAUGGGCGCAAGCCUGAUCCAGCCAUACCGCGUGGGUGAAGAAGGCCUUCGGGUUGUAAAGCCCUUUUGUUGGGAAAGAAAAGCAGCAGGUUAAUACCCCGCUGUUCUGACGGUACCCAAAGAAUAAGCACCGGCUAACUUCGUG
This 492-nucleotide ribosomal RNA is filed under the name uncultured bacterium. RNAcentral describes it as "partial 16S ribosomal RNA". It matches the Rfam family "Bacterial small subunit ribosomal RNA", at positions 29 to 507 of the family's 1533-position model. The record is from RNAcentral.